This 70-nucleotide transfer RNA is filed under the name Sceloporus formosus. RNAcentral describes it as "tRNA-Tyr". It matches the Rfam family "tRNA". From Rfam's summary of the family: Transfer RNA (tRNA) molecules are approximately 80 nucleotides in length. Their secondary structure includes four short double-helical elements and three loops (D, anti-codon, and T loops). Further hydrogen bonds mediate the characteristic L-shaped molecular structure. tRNAs have two regions of fundamental functional importance: the anti-codon, which is responsible for specific mRNA codon recognition, and the 3' end, to which the tRNAs corresponding amino acid is attached (by aminoacyl-tRNA synthetases). tRNAs cope with the degeneracy of the genetic code in two manners: having more than one tRNA (with a specific anti-codon) for a particular amino acid; and 'wobble' base-pairing, i.e. permitting non-standard base-pairing at the 3rd anti-codon position. Lineage: Eukaryota; Metazoa; Chordata; Lepidosauria; Squamata; Phrynosomatidae. The record is from RNAcentral.
GGUAAGAUGGCCGAAUGUCAGGCGGUAGGCUGUAGUCCUAUUUAUGGGGGUUUGAUUCCUCUUCUUAUCA